This 342-nucleotide ribosomal RNA is filed under the name uncultured soil bacterium. RNAcentral describes it as "bacterial SSU rRNA". It matches the Rfam family "Bacterial small subunit ribosomal RNA", at positions 26 to 394 of the family's 1533-position model. The record is from RNAcentral.
AGAACGAACGCUGGCGGCAUGCCUAAUACAUGCAAGUCGAACGAACACUUCGGUGUUAGUGGCGCACGGGUGCGUAACGCGUGGGAAUCUGCCCUUGGGUUCGGAAUAACAGUUGGAAACGACUGCUAAUACCGGAUGAUAUCGAAAGAUCAAAGAUUUAUCGCCCAGGGAUGAGCCCGCGUAGGAUUAGCUAGUUGGUGAGGUAAAGGCUCACCAAGGCGACGAUCCUUAGCUGGUCUGAGAGGAUGAUCAGCCACACUGGGACUGAGACACGGCCCAGACUCCUACGGGAGGCAGCAGUAGGGAAUAUUGGACAAUGGGCGCAAGCCUGACUCCCAGCAA